RNAcentral lists this ribosomal RNA (700 nucleotides) under Escherichia coli. RNAcentral describes it as "bacterial LSU rRNA". It matches the Rfam family "Bacterial large subunit ribosomal RNA", at positions 2243 to 2925 of the family's 2925-position model. Lineage: Bacteria; Pseudomonadati; Pseudomonadota; Gammaproteobacteria; Enterobacterales; Enterobacteriaceae. The record is from RNAcentral.
GGUUGCGGACAGUGUCUGGUGGGUAGUUUGACUGGGGCGGUCUCCUCCUAAAGAGUAACGGAGGAGCACGAAGGUUGGCUAAUCCUGGUCGGACAUCAGGAGGUUAGUGCAAUGGCAUAAGCCAGCUUGACUGCGAGCGUGACGGCGCGAGCAGGUGCGAAAGCAGGUCAUAGUGAUCCGGUGGUUCUGAAUGGAAGGGCCAUCGCUCAACGGAUAAAAGGUACUCCGGGGAUAACAGGCUGAUACCGCCCAAGAGUUCAUAUCGACGGCGGUGUUUGGCACCUCGAUGUCGGCUCAUCACAUCCUGGGGCUGAAGUAGGUCCCAAGGGUAUGGCUGUUCGCCAUUUAAAGUGGUACGCGAGCUGGGUUUAGAACGUCGUGAGACAGUUCGGUCCCUAUCUGCCGUGGGCGCUGGAGAACUGAGGGGGGCUGCUCCUAGUACGAGAGGACCGGAGUGGACGCAUCACUGGUGUUCGGGUUGUCAUGCCAAUGGCACUGCCCGGUAGCUAAAUGCGGAAGAGAUAAGUGCUGAAAGCAUCUAAGCACGAAACUUGCCCCGAGAUGAGUUCUCCCUGACCCUUUAAGGGUCCUGAAGGAACGUUGAAGACGACGACGUUGAUAGGCCGGGUGUGUAAGCGCAGCGAUGCGUUGAGCUAACCGGUACUAAUGAACCGUGAGGCUUAACCUUACAACGCCGAAG